GCGCCUGUAGCUCAGAUGGAUAGAGCAACGGCCUUCUAAGCCGUUUGUCGGUGGUUCGAUCCCACCCAGGCGUG
Molecule: transfer RNA, 74 nt
Filed under: Myxococcales bacterium
Lineage: Bacteria; Pseudomonadati; Myxococcota; Myxococcia; Myxococcales
Description: tRNA-Arg
Rfam family: tRNA
About the family: Transfer RNA (tRNA) molecules are approximately 80 nucleotides in length. Their secondary structure includes four short double-helical elements and three loops (D, anti-codon, and T loops).
Source: RNAcentral